GAUGGGUGCUAGGUGUUGGUGGGUAAGACCCAUCAGUGCCGUAGCUAACGCAAUAAGCACCCCGCCUGGGGAGUACGGCCGCAAGGUUGAAACUCAAAGGGAUUGACGGGGGCCCGCACAAGCGGUGGAGCAUGUGGUUUAAUUCGACGCAACGCGAAGAACCUUACCAGGGCUUGACAUGCCGGUGGUACUGAGCCGAAAGGUGAGGGACCCUUAGGCGAUGAGUUUAAGGGAGCCGGCACAGGUGGUGCAUGGUUGUCGUCAGCUCGUGUCGUGAGAUGUUGGGUUAAGUCCCGCAACGAGCGCAACCCCUGCCCCUAGUUGCCAGCGGGUGGAGCCGGGCACUCUAGGGGGACUGCCGUUGACGAAACGGAGGAAGGUGGGGAUGACGUCAAAUCAUCAUGCCCUUUAUGCCCUGGGCUACACACGUGCUACAAUGGCCGGUACAGAGGGUUGCGAACCCGCGAGGGGGAGCGAAUCCCAGAAAGCCGGUCUCAGUUCGGAUUGCAGGCUGCAACUCGCCUGCAUGAAGGCGGAAUCGCUAGUAAUCGCCGGUCAGCAUACGGCGGUGAAUACGUUCCCGGGCCUUGUACACACCGCCCGUCACACCACGAAAGCCGACAACACCCGAAGCCGGUGGAGCUAACCGCCGUGGAGGUGGGGGCAGCCGUCGAAGGUGGGGUCGGUGAUUGGGUUAAGUCGUAAC
This 706-nucleotide ribosomal RNA is filed under the name uncultured bacterium. RNAcentral's name for it is "partial 16S ribosomal RNA". It matches the Rfam family "Bacterial small subunit ribosomal RNA", at positions 808 to 1492 of the family's 1533-position model. The record is from RNAcentral.